RNA transcript from Magnolia sinica, 2017 nucleotides. It is a transcript of the gene named DEAD-box ATP-dependent RNA helicase 15-like, with no coding region annotated. The record is from RefSeq and is a predicted model, not a curated record. The transcript is spliced from 3 exons. NCBI's taxonomy places the organism in Eukaryota, Viridiplantae, Streptophyta, Magnoliopsida, Magnoliales, Magnoliaceae.
UGCGAGUUACUGCUCCUUCCCACUCACUAGUGAGUGCCCUUCCCCGGUCUGUAGAAGACCCUUCCCCCGAUACCUGAAAUCGAGCGCUAUCCCUCUCAAACCCUAACCCUAGUAGUGGGUUUUCUGUCUUCUUUCACUUAUACUAGUCUACGAUUUUGGGAAUCAUUUCCCCCCACUUUGCAGACGCUCCAAAACCCUGGCCCUAAUCUCUCUCUCUCUCUCUCUCUCUCUCUCUCUCUCUCUCUCUCUCUUCUCGAAGAUUCAAAGGAGAAGAAGAACUCUAUCUCCAAGAGCUUUUCCUGAUUUUUGGAGAAAAAAGCAAAUGUCUAUGGCGCUUUGGAGACAACGAAUUCUUUCUGCCCCUCUGAUGAAACCCCGUCUCUCUCUCGCCUUCUCAUCAUCCCCAACUUCCGAUCAAACCCCACCUAAUGAGGCCCUAAUCUCAUCCGUUGUUUCCGUCCUUACUGAACACCGCUCCAAAAGCCGCUGGAGCUACCUCAAAUCCCUCAUCCACCCCAACGUCCUCUCCACUGCUGAGGUUUCCCAGAUUACGCUCCGCGUAAGAAACAAUCCCCAUCUUGCCCUCCGCUUCUUCCUCUGGUCCCAGGAAAAUUCCCUUUUUGUCCCCGAUCUCAUCUCUUAUUCCACCAUGAUUCACAUCCUUGCCCGAUCCCGCCUCAAAACCCGUGCCCAGGACCUGAUCCGGACUGCCAUCCGGAUAUCUGAAUCCGAUGGCGCGGAUCCCUCCAUCUUCAGAACCCUGGUGAAAACAUACCGUUCCUGCGAUUCAGCCCCAUUCGUCUUCGAUCUCCUCAUUCGUGCCUACCUGAAUUCAAACAAGAUAGAUCGGGCGGUUGAGAUUGUUCGCUUGCUCCGAUCACGUGGAAUUCAUCCGAUGACUGGUACCUGCAAUUCCAUCAUCCGAUCAGUGGCUGAGUUGAGAGGAUCGGACACAGGGUUUGCAAUGUAUCAAGAGAUUUUUAGGUCCGAAAAUAAAACUAGCAUUAGGGUUAGUGUUUUGCCAAAUGUGCAGACUUUCAAUACUUUGAUGCUUUCUUUCUAUCGAGAUCAGAAUAUAGAACAGAUGGAUGAGAUUUUGAACGAAAUGGUGAAAUUCGGGUGUGAUCCAAAUGUUUUCACUUACUCCAUUUUGAUGGCAGCCUCUUGUGGUAGAGGGAAGAUUGAAGAAGCGAUCAGAUUAUGGGACAAAAUGCGGAUUAAUGAAAUUAAACCCGAUGUCAUGGCUUACAAUACUCUGCUUAGUGGCUUCUGUGAUAUUGGAAAGAUCAAGAGAGCAGAAGCACUGUUUCGGGAGAUGGGAUUGGACGGUAUCGAGGCGACAUGUGUGAGUUAUGAGUGUCUAAUCAAAGGGUAUUGUAAAAUCGGAGACGUCGAUUCAGCGAUUGUUUUAUAUCGAGAUAUGUGCAGGAGGGGAUUUGGGCCAGAGGCAGCAACUGUAAAUGAGGUGAUUGGAGAAAUGUGUAGGACGAAACGGGUUUCUGAAGGGUUGGAGUUUUUAAGGGACGUGAUGAAGAGGUUUGGGUUUUAUCCAAAUCGGGCAAGUUACAAGUUCCUUAUAGGGGGGCUUUGUGAAGAGGGGAAGAUGGAAGAGGCAUGCAAGGUGCAGGUAGAGAUGGUUGGAAAAGGAUUUGAACUGGAUGCUGAGAUUUAUGGCAGUUUCAUUGAGGGGUAUAGGGAACAAGGCAACAUGGAAAAAGUGGGAAAGUUGACGAAUGAAAUGGUCCAGGGACAGAGAGAAUUCUUCUCCAAAGCACCAUAGAUAUUUGCUUCCUCAAUAGGACAAGAGUUCGAUCUCCAAGAGCUUAUUGUGAUUUAUCUCAUCUUCUUAUGGUCUCUUCUAUAAUAGGAAUGGGAGAAGUCAAGGACAAUGAUGCCUAUGAGGAAGAGCUUCUUGAUUAUGAAGAAGAGGAGGAGAAAGUCCUUGAUUCUGUUGCCACCAAAGGUGCUGGCGAAUCAGUCAAGAAGGGCUAUGUUGGAAUUCACAGCUCAGGAUUCA